This 460-nucleotide ribosomal RNA is filed under the name uncultured bacterium. Its description in RNAcentral is "partial 16S ribosomal RNA". It matches the Rfam family "Bacterial small subunit ribosomal RNA", at positions 338 to 795 of the family's 1533-position model. The record is from RNAcentral.
CCUACGGGAGGCAGCAGUGAGGAAUAUUGGUCAAUGGGCGCGAGCCUGAACCAGCCAAGUAGCGUGAAGGAUGACGGUUCUAUGGAUCGUAAACCUCUUUUAUAAGGGAAUAAAGUGUGGGACGUGUCCUGUUUUGUAUGUACCUUAUGAAUAAGGAUCGGCUAACUCCGUGCCAGUAGCCGCGGUAAUACGGAGGAUCCGAGCGUUAUCCGGAUUUAUUGGGUUUAAAGGGUGCGUAGGCGGCCUUUUAAGUCAGCGGUGAAAGUCUGUGGCUCAACCAUAGAAUUGCCGUUGAAACUGGGAGGCUUGAGUAUGUUUGAGGCAGGCGGAAUGCGUGGGGUAGCGGUGAAAUGCUUAGAUAUCACGCAGAACCCCGAUUGCGAAGGCAGCCUGCCAAGCCAUGACUGACGCUGAUGCACGAAAGCGUGGGGAUCAAACAGGAUUAGAUACCCUUGUAGUC